Molecule: ribosomal RNA, 376 nt
Filed under: uncultured bacterium
Lineage: Bacteria
Description: bacterial SSU rRNA
Rfam family: Bacterial small subunit ribosomal RNA
Source: RNAcentral
UAAUACGGAGGGUGCAAGCGUUAAUCGGAAUUACUGGGCGUAAAGCGCACGCAGGCGGUUGGAUAAGUUAGAUGUGAAAGCCCCGGGCUCAACCUGGGAAUUGCAUUUAAAACUGUCCGGCUAGAGUCUUGUAGAGGGGGGUAGAAUUCCAGGUGUAGCGGUGAAAUGCGUAGAGAUCUGGAGGAAUACCGGUGGCGAAGGCGGCCCCCUGGACAAAGACUGACGCUCAGGUGCGAAAGCGUGGGGAGCAAACAGGAUUAGAUACCCUGGUAGUCCACGCCGUAAACGAUGUCGAUUUGGAGGCUGUGUCCUUGAGACGUGGCUUCCGGAGCUAACGCGUUAAAUCGACCGCCUGGGGAGUACGGCCGCAAGGUUA